GGACCCGCACAAGUAGUGGAGCAUGUGGUUUAAUUCGAAGAUACGCGCAGAACCUUACCAGGGUUUGACAUCCUGCGAAUCUCUUGGAAACGAGAGAGUGCCUUCGGGAACGCAGUGACAGGUGGUGCAUGGCUGUCGUCAGCUCGUGUCGUGAGAUGUUGGGUUAAGUCCCGCAACGAGCGCAACCCACGUCUUUAGUUGCCAGCAUUUAGUUGGGCACUCUAGAGAGACUGCCGGUGAUAAACCGGAGGAAGGUGUGGAUGACGUCAAGUCAUCAUGCCCCUUACAUCCUGGGCUACACACGUACUACAAUGCUACGGACAAAGGGCUGCAAGUUCGCGAGGACAAGCAAAUCCCAUAAACCGUGGCUCAGUUCAGAUCGUAGGCUGCAACUCGCCUACGUG
Molecule: ribosomal RNA, 404 nt
Filed under: uncultured bacterium
Lineage: Bacteria
Description: bacterial SSU rRNA
Rfam family: Bacterial small subunit ribosomal RNA
Source: RNAcentral